This is a long non-coding RNA of Hippocampus comes (tiger tail seahorse), 209 nucleotides long. RefSeq lists it as uncharacterized. The transcript is spliced from 2 exons. Lineage: Eukaryota; Metazoa; Chordata; Actinopteri; Syngnathiformes; Syngnathidae. The record is from RefSeq and is a predicted model, not a curated record.
UAUAAAUACAAAAUAUGUUCUGUCUCCCUUGCAAGCUGUUUUGUUGGCUCAAAAUAAUUUCUUCCGCUUCUGCUGGUUGUGACAGGGUUGUUGUUGGUUUUUUUUCCCCCUUUAUGAUUUGAUAAAAAAUAUGGAGUGAAAAUAAUAGGGAAGAGUGAUGACAAAAGUAGUCGAGGAAUCAAUCAAAAGAUGGUUCCAAAAAAAAAAAA